CCGAGUUAUCAACUCCCAAACCCCUGUGAACAUACCAUAUUGUUGCCUCGGCGGGAUCGCCCCCCUCCGGGCCGGAACCGCCCCGCAGGACCCAAACUCUUGUUUCGAUAUAAGUCUGUCUGAGGUGACUGCAAGCAAAUAAAUUA
Molecule: unclassified non-coding RNA, 146 nt
Filed under: soil metagenome
Description: partial internal transcribed spacer 1
Source: RNAcentral